UGGGGAAUUUUGGACAAUGGGCGCAAGCCUGAUCCAGCCAUGCCGCGUGCGGGAAGAAGGCCUUCGGGUUGUAAACCGCUUUUGUUAGGGAAGAAAUCUUCUGAGUUAAUACCUCGGGAGGAUGACGGUACCUGAAGAAUAAGCACCGGCUAACUACGUGCCAGCAGCCGCGGUAAUACGUAGGGUGCAAGCGUUAAUCGGAAUUACUGGGCGUAAAGCGUGCGCAAGGCGGUUUUGUAAGACAGAGGUGAAAUCCCCGGGCUCAACCUGGGAACUGCCUUUGUGACUGCAAGGCUUGAGUGCGGCAGAGGGGGAUGGAAUUCCGCGUGUAGCAGUGAAAUGCGUAGAUAUGCGGAGGAACACCGAUGGGCGAAGGCAAUCCCCUGGGCCUGCACUGACGCUCAUGCACGAAAGCGUGGGGAGCAAAACAGGAUUAGAUAGCCCCUGGUAGUCCACGCCCUAAACGAUGUCAACUGGUUGUUGGGAAGGUUCCUUCUCAGUAACGUAGCUAACGCNUGAAGUUGACCGCCUGGGGAGUACGGCCGCAACGGUUGAGACUUGAAAUGAAUUGACGGGGGUCAUAGCUG
RNAcentral lists this ribosomal RNA (587 nucleotides) under uncultured bacterium. RNAcentral's name for it is "partial 16S ribosomal RNA". It matches the Rfam family "Bacterial small subunit ribosomal RNA", at positions 355 to 928 of the family's 1533-position model. The record is from RNAcentral.